Molecule: ribosomal RNA, 346 nt
Filed under: uncultured fungus
Lineage: Eukaryota; Fungi
Description: SSU rRNA
Rfam family: Eukaryotic small subunit ribosomal RNA
Source: RNAcentral
GUAGUCAUAUGCUUGUCUCAAAGAUUAAGCCAUGCAUGUCUAAGUAUAAGCAAUUAUACCGUGAAACUGCGAAUGGCUCAUUAAAUCAGUUAUCGUUUAUUUGAUAGUACCUUACUACUUGGAUAACCGUGGUAAUUCUAGAGCUAAUACAUGCUAAAAACCCCGACUUCGGAAGGGGUGUAUUUAUUAGAUAAAAAACCAAUGCCCUCCGGGGCUCCUUGGUGAUUCAUGAUAACUUCUCAGAUCGCAUGGCCUUGCGCCAGCGACGGUUCAUUCAAAUUUCUGCCCUAUCAACUUUCGAUGGUAAGGUAUUGGCUUACCAUGGUUUCAACGGGUAACGGGGAAU